Molecule: long non-coding RNA, 406 nt
Filed under: Pelobates cultripes (western spadefoot toad)
Lineage: Eukaryota; Metazoa; Chordata; Amphibia; Anura; Pelobatidae
Source: RNAcentral
CUGGUAUUUACAUUUGUUUGGGACUAUAAAUUAAGUAACGUUUUCAUGAACUGAGUGAAAAUAAUGCUUUGUAAUCGUCCUUGAACCAGAUUAAUCAGUCUUUGAUUAGGUGUCAGUGUUUGUAGGCCACCCCUAUGGUCCCUGUCCACGGCGUCUCAUCGGGCCCUGUGUCCUUAGCUAUGUGUCAUCGACCGUGGUGGGCUUGUGUUUACCCCCGUUAUUACUAUCGGUGUUUCCCGUGUUUAACCAGGGGAAUGAUGGUAUUGCGGGUAAAGGGUACCCUUACCUUGGGCGUGUGGAUACUGCAUUAGCCGUGUCAAUGCUGGGCCUGUCCAGGGUUCCUUCAGGUGUUCGCAUGUUUUGGCUUUGGGGUGUCUUCCCGGGCCGGUCUGGAUGUAAGUACCAG